UUCGCAAUGCCCGAAAGGGUGACGAAGCGACGCCGCGUGGGUGAGGAAGGCCUUCGGGUUGUAAAACCCUGUCAGGAGUUAAGAAAUGUAAGUGCGCUAAUAUCGCAUUUAUUUGACGAAGGCUCCAAAGGAAGCCACGGCUAACUCUGUGCCAGCAGCCGCGGUAAUACAGAGGUGGCAAGCGCUGUUCGGAAUUAUUGGGCGUAAAGAGCACGUAGGUGGAUUUGUAAGUCAGAUGUGAAAGCCUUCUGUUCAACGGAAGAAUUGCAUCUGAAACUGCGAGUCUUGAGUGUAGGAGGGGAGAAUGGAACUUCCGGUGGAGCGGUGAAAUGCGUAGAUAUCAGAAGGAACGCCGGCGGCGAAAGCGAUUCUCUGGCCUAUUACUGACACUGAGUGUGCGAAAGCUAGGGGAGCAAACGGGAUUAGAUACCCCGGUAGUCCUAGCCGUAAACGAUGGGCACUAAGUAGAGGGGUUUU
Molecule: ribosomal RNA, 477 nt
Filed under: Candidatus Scalindua brodae
Lineage: Bacteria; Pseudomonadati; Planctomycetota; Candidatus Brocadiia; Candidatus Brocadiales; Candidatus Scalinduaceae
Also listed under: 1 other name
Description: bacterial SSU rRNA
Rfam family: Bacterial small subunit ribosomal RNA
Source: RNAcentral